AAGCAAUUUAUCCUUAACAUUUAAAAUUAAAUUGAAAAGUUAAGAAAUAAAUAUGUAUAUGAAAGACGUGUCUUGUAAUUAUUUGUUUGGUGUAAACACGACCACAUAUUCCAUGUAUUUAUUAGAAUCUUCAUAAUUUGUUUGUUUGAUAACUCGGGUGACAAAUCUAAUAAUUUUCGUCAAUGACCCAACCUAAAAAGGAUUCUAAUUGAACUACAUCUCUUCCCUAAACACAAAACCCCAUAAUUCCAUUUUCAGAACACACCAAUUAAGCAAAAAACCAAAGAUGGGGCGUUUCAUUGCUCUUGCACUUGUCGUAGCUGCUUUUCUAAUGAUUUCCUUCUCUCAGUGUCACGGUUAUCCAUUCUCUUUUCUUUCCAUGUUUUUUCCUCUUGGAUUCUUACUUAAUUAGAAAUUGACUACAAAAUGUGGAUUAGUAAUCUUUGUUGAAAUAUUCUUUGUUCACUAACUUUAUUCUGCUGUUUUGAUUGUUUAGGAUUCGGUAGAAAAACAUUGGGAUCUUUUGGCUAUGGACACACCCAUAGAGUUUUGCUUGAGGUUCGUUUCUUUUUCUUUUUUUCUUUUGUAAUUUUAUUUGAAUGCUUUCUGUCCCAAAAGGAACAAUAUUAUUUGGUCAUGAAAAUUAUUUUUACUAUGAAUAAAUAUUGUGUAUGGUAGAAUGAAAUGGUUGAGUAAUUGAAAAAUGAGAUCAUUCAGGAAUGGAAUAUUCAUCAAGGGUUGAGAGUAAUUGAAUUUUUGGUCGUAGAUCCGUAACACAAGAAAGUGUUUUUAAUUAUUCCAGCAGAAAUGAAACACUCUGUGUCAAUUUUAUAUCAUAAAGUUAUUAUUUGUGAAUUAUAUAACUUCUUUUUUUACCACAUUUUUAUACAACUCAAAUUAUCUCUGGUUAUAAAAUUUUACUAGUACUUAUAGUUCUUAAAAGAUUGAGGUGUCCAAGUCCAAUGGAGACCGAUGUUGAGACGAUCUGAUCCUCCUGCUCCAAAAUCUAUUGUUCUUUUUGAAUCAAGAGGAAAUAUUUUUUAUGUAUUCUCUAAAUUUGAAUAUCUUAUUUCAAAAGGAUUGAGAAAUUAACAUGUAAAUUCACUUUAAAAGUUAGAUGUAUCUUCGUACCUGUAAUUCCAAAGUUCUUUUGAGACGGAAGGUGUAUACUAUUUUCAUCGUGGUUCAUUUCAUAUUUUUCCUUGACUCUUUUUGAGGGUUUAAAAUAUAGAAUUCAUGCAGAUAUUUUAAGGGCAAGUAAUACAUUUGGUUGGUCAGCCCAAAAUAAUUGUAUCCGCUAGUCAAUAUACAAAAAAUAUAUAUUAUUAUGCAUAAAAAUAUGACUAUUUUUUGUAUAUUAUAUAUUCAUAUACAAAAAAUUUACAUUUCGCCUGCAAUUUUGAGAGGCACUAUGGUGUGAUUUUUCCAUAAUUUAAUUUAACGUGACAGGAGAAACCAAGGACAGCGUACGAGGCGGACUAUGCAUAUGCUGGGCCAAACUUCAAUUCCCAUUCUGGUUUUCUUUUUUCUCCACCUUUUCCUCCGCCACCUCAACCUCAAGACAUGAAUUGACCUUUUAAGCUUCAUAAGUUUUAUCUCUUCAGUUGAUGAGAUUUGCAAUUUUUUUAUGAUUGUUUUCAUAUGCGCAAAAUACAACACUGGCUGGACAGCUGAAAUUAAUUGCAUUUGUCAGCCGACAAGUGAAUAAAAUAUGUAUAUUUUUUAUAUGUAAUACACAUAUAUUCAAAAAAUAUACAUUUUGUCUGAUAUUAUUUUAAGAGCUGUUAAAAAUAUG
This 1795-nucleotide long non-coding RNA is filed under the name Nicotiana tabacum (common tobacco). RNAcentral describes it as "long non-coding RNA (NTAB_LNC000349)". Lineage: Eukaryota; Viridiplantae; Streptophyta; Magnoliopsida; Solanales; Solanaceae. The record is from RNAcentral.